GUGUGAUGCUGGAUCACACAGAGGUCCAUGAAGACUACGCACAUAAAAACAGUGGUUGGAAAGAACCAGGCUUGGUGUCAGGAGAAUGGAGUCAGUCCCCUUUCCCCUCAUGAGCUGGGUGACCAUGGCCUGACUCUGAAAAUGCCAGGAGGAGUCCAGUGGGGAAGCAGGAGAGAAAAGAAGCAAAGAAGAAUUUCAACAUGAAAAUGUACUUGUUCGUUGUUCAUGAGCCACCGCAAAUCCAUUUUAAAGACUGUUUUGCACAACCUGCCACAA
This is a non-coding RNA of Macaca mulatta (Rhesus monkey), 276 nucleotides long. The record is from RefSeq and is a predicted model, not a curated record. NCBI's taxonomy places the organism in Eukaryota, Metazoa, Chordata, Mammalia, Primates, Cercopithecidae.